GACGAACGCUGGCGGCGUGCUUAACACAUGCAAGUCGAACGAUGAAAGCUGGAGCUUGCUCUAGCUGGAUUAGUGGCGAACGGGUGAGUAACACGUGAGCAAUCUGCCCUGGACUCUGGGAUAACUCCGAGAAAUCGGUGCUAAUACCGGAUACGACACCUCCCGGCAUCGGGUGGGUGUGGAAAGAAUUUCGGUCCAGGAUGAGCUCGCGGCCUAUCAGCUUGUUGGUGAGGUAACGGCUCACCAAGGC
Molecule: ribosomal RNA, 250 nt
Filed under: uncultured bacterium
Lineage: Bacteria
Description: partial 16S ribosomal RNA
Rfam family: Bacterial small subunit ribosomal RNA
Source: RNAcentral